RNAcentral lists this ribosomal RNA (274 nucleotides) under uncultured bacterium. RNAcentral describes it as "partial 16S ribosomal RNA". It matches the Rfam family "Bacterial small subunit ribosomal RNA", at positions 523 to 796 of the family's 1533-position model. The record is from RNAcentral.
AUACGGAGGGGGCUAGCGUUGUUCGGAAUUACUGGGCGUAAAGCGCGCGUAGGCGGCUUAUCAAGUUAGGCGUGAAAGGCCUGGGCUCAACCCGGGAACUGCGCUCAAAACUAGUAAGCUAGAGACCGGGAGAGGUGAGUGGAAUUCCCAGUGUAGAGGUGAAAUUCGUAGAUAUUGGGAAGAACACCAGUGGCGAAGGCGACUCACUGGAACGGUUCUGACGCUGAGGUACGAAAGCGUGGGGAGCAAACAGGAUUAGAAACCCGAGUAGUCC